AAAGUAACAGAUAAGAACUUUUAAUUAACCAGAAUGCCCUGUUCCCCUACUGGAUUAUGGUGUGGAGUGCAACCGAACCAAUGGCGACCACAUUAUUUUUUCUAGGCUUUUACCAUCCUGCUGACAAUGUAGAUCCCUAAUUAACAGUGAAGAACCAGCCCUGGGAGUCCCCCUGGCAACAUGCUUUGAGGGCACGGUGGUGGGAGGACCAAACCACUGACCAAAAGAAAGAGCCUAUCGGGAGCACUCCAGGCACCUACUACCUUUGUCCUUUAUAGAAUCAAGCUACAUGCUAAAGGUAGGCUGUGAUUAUUUACUGAAGGUCUUUGUGAGAAAUAUUCUCAUGAAAAUUACAUAUGCAACUGUUAAUAAAACACCUAUCAAAGUUACUGUCCACCUUCCUACUCAAUGUCUUUAUACAGUAUUCCACGGGAGAAAUAUUUAGACUCUGAUGCCUGGAAAAUCUUUGUCUUUCCAGAGAUCCCACUCAUUUCCUUUUUGGUGUCCCAUGUGGACUAAUACAAGUGCAGAAAGGAAAUAAAAGCAAAAGGUCUUCAGAUAGCUGUGGGAGGAACGCAAAGGAAGCCCUGCCAGAGAACUGGACGAAGCCCACCCAGAGAAGAGGUAUGGGGGUGUGGAGGAAGCAGGGGAUGCUCAGCUGGGGGAACCGGAGCAGCAGCAAGAAUGCAGCAGAUGCCUAUGAACAUUUCAAACUCCAGCCCGUGCCAACUCAAAAACCUCAACAUUUUGAGUCACUUAACUCUGACACAAUAAAGCAAAAUUGGUUACCUAUCUCCGAAUCUGCAAGCUCCUGUUUUACUGUAGAAUGGACAAUUAGCUCGAUCUUUU
Long non-coding RNA from Aethalodelphis obliquidens (Pacific white-sided dolphin), 849 nucleotides. RefSeq lists it as uncharacterized. The record is from RefSeq and is a predicted model, not a curated record. The transcript is spliced from 3 exons. NCBI's taxonomy places the organism in Eukaryota, Metazoa, Chordata, Mammalia, Artiodactyla, Delphinidae.